RNAcentral lists this long non-coding RNA (1238 nucleotides) under Dasypus novemcinctus (nine-banded armadillo). RNAcentral's name for it is "lncRNA (ENSDNOG00000050469.1)". Lineage: Eukaryota; Metazoa; Chordata; Mammalia; Cingulata; Dasypodidae. The record is from RNAcentral.
CAGAAACCCUUCACCCCAACCAGGGAGACAGCGAAGGCCUCUGGCCCAGGGCCCAUUUCUGGUUCCGAAGGUCUUCCCCACGUAUAGGGAGAGAAGAACCCUUGAGCCUCAGUCCAGCCGCCGCGCCCCUCCCCCCCCCCCCACUUCCCACCGCUACAUUAACCCUUUGUCUGCUGCGGGGGUGGGGGGACACUGCCCCUUUGGUCUUCUCCAGUGGGCGGAGGGAGGAGGCAGCAACCUCCAGAGGUCCGCACCCCGCCCCCGCCACCAGCAGGCCUUCACGCGCGGUUCCACGUUCGCCCCCGGGCCCUGCAGGGGGGCCCCGUCCCCUCCAACACACUCCUAAGACUGCCGCUCUGGAAAUUUCAACAGGGUUUACUUAGCCCUUCAAGGGGGCGAUCCGGCCCCGCAACCCUGGGAACUCUCAUCACGGAGACUCCUGACCUUCGCCCUUCCCAGAAGGAAAGGCUCUUAGAAGACACCUGGCUCUAGCGCUGGGUGGAAAAACUUUGUAGAGUUCAGGCGGGUGCCCAGGGGCCAAAGUGGGUCCCAGAUGGAGACUCCCUGGGGAGAGGGGGGCGGAUCUGAGAAUGCAAACUAGCUCUCUGACCUAAGCACCUGAACUUGGGAGGGCCCUUUACAGCGCAUCACCCACCCCACGACACACAGGCGAACUGCGACCUCCCAUCUCCCUACGUCGCUCCGGUUUUUCCCUCCGACCUCUCUCCCCAGGGCAAAAGCAGAACUGCGCCUUUAAGAGCCGCUCCGCUUACCUUUGCUCGGUUUACGGGGAGCCGCGACGCCCCCUCCUCCUUCGACCUCCCUCCUCCUUCCCGGGCGAGCCGCCCGCCGGAGCCAGCCGGACACACCGCGAAGCCCGCCGGACUCACCGCGCUCGUCCCGGGGGCCGCGGCGCGCCGGCUCCGGCCCACGACGGCAGGGGCGCCGCCGGGCUGCGCGCCGUGCCCUGCGCUCUGCGCACUGCCCGGGUCCCUGCCGGGGCUCGGGGCUGCUUCCCCCUGCUCCAGAAAGGCUUCUUGCAGUGUCCCCCGCGUGGGGAGCCCCAUGCGCAAGGAGUGCGCCCGUGAGGAGAGCUGCCCAGGGCGAAAGAAAGUGCAGCCUGCCCAGGAAUGGCGCCGCCCACACUUCCCGUGCCGCUGACGACAACAGAAGCGGACAAAGAAACAAGACGCAGCAAAUAGACACCGAAAACAGACAACCAGGGGAGGGGGGGGAAU